This 3203-nucleotide long non-coding RNA is filed under the name Triticum aestivum (bread wheat). RNAcentral's name for it is "long non-coding RNA (TAES_LNC002473)". Lineage: Eukaryota; Viridiplantae; Streptophyta; Magnoliopsida; Poales; Poaceae. The record is from RNAcentral.
UUACUAGUCACUAAUUAAUCAUACAACCCAUAAAUGAUGCAUCUGAAGCUAGCCCAGUACACCCAGCGCGGCGCCAGCCUUCAGCUCUGGAUCCUACCGCGAACGGCGCGGCCGGGCGGAGCGCCGGCGCCGCCACUAAACACGGUCCCGUACCGUCUGGUGGCAGGUCCUCGGGCUGUCCAGGCAAGAGCAAGGUGAAUGUUAUUCAUUCUAAUCCGUGUACUGCAAACUUUUUCCUUUGUGUCCACUGUAAAAGUUGAAGGAUGAGUGCGUCUCAACUCAAGUGUAUACAUUGAUUCAGUGUUGUACUAUUAGAUUAGCUCGUCACCUUCAGUAACUGCUACAGGCAGAGCUAUAUGUAUCCCUGUUCUGAACUUGGAUGAAUUCAAGUCAACCGUUCAUCUUGUGUUCUGAACUUAAGAUUUUAUCAGUGUGUGGUUUCCUUGAAAAAAUGUGUGGUGGUUUUCUCCCCGCGCCGAUGCGGCGGCCCGCGCAUUGGAGACACGAGCAUCACCAUGGUUUGCUGCAGAAUCUGAAACCAACCAAUUAGAACCUGAAACCUCAUGGUCAACUCAGUCUGAAUAAUAUUGUCUUGUACUACUAUUCGUAAUUUUGGUCAUGUUUAUCUAUUUUGAUUUCUAGUUCUACAUAGCUGUGCAAGUGAGCUAUAGUUGUUUAUUCUGUGAUAUGGGAUACUUUUCUGGUUAGUUAUAAGCAAUGAACAUUUAGCCCGGCUUGCUUGAUCCUGGCUCCACCAAUAAUAUAUAUAGCUAUCUUGCUUAACUUUUCAUCAUGUAUGAUAAAAAUGUGAGGCUCUAGUUAGAUCUCUUCUCUGAACUUCAUUGCCUCAUGGGAUGCAGUGGUCUCUCUGAUUCCAUAAGCUGUAAUCAAUCAUAUCCAAAACACAAAUUAUUAUCCCCACUUCUGUCCCUGUUUAUUUUCUUGGAUUUAAAAAAUGGAUUGAUAUCUUAUCCACCAAUAUAUCAUUCUGUAAGCUGUAAUCAAUAGUAUCCAAAUGGAAUGGGACCUUUCUUUUAUUUGAAACUUCCAAAUCAAGGGUUUUCCUUGAAAUAUAUUCACGGUGGUGUAAGUGAUUUAGCUUUUGAACAGAAAUUUUUACAAGGUUCUGGUUGCUUUGACAACACAAUAUGUUCUACUGUACAUUAUAUUUCCAAAUCUAUAUAAUUUAGUUUGAGAAAGUAACUUAAGGAGGUGUAUCCCUCUUUAUAAUUCCUCUACACUACUCAAUCGCUAUCUGCCUCUAAUUAUUAUAGUGACAUCACUUAUGGGUGCGGCGCUAAAUUCUUGAGAGCCUGCUCUAAUCAUCAUACUUUCCAUCCCUCCGUUCAGGUGUAUUACUGUUUCUGAACUAUCAGGCACAAAGUAUGCCGAGCCUUGUUCAUCUGGUGAUUACUGUAUUGGAAUCUGAAGGAUAUUUAGCCUUGUCAUCAUGAUGGCCGUCAUCUUCCUUUUUCCUGAAUAUUAUGACCAGCUGAUUAAAGCCUGAAACUGAAGCUUGAUCUUACUUAAAAUUGAGCACGGCCUAAUUUUUAUGCUGCAGUCAGGCCUUGGAUAGAAAAUAAACCUGUUAUCCAGGUGAUAUUUCACUAUAUUAUUUUAGUUAUGGAAAUGCACAUUCACGGAUUAUAGUUGCGUUUCUGUUUACUGAAUUUUGUUCUGCUGUUUUUUUUCAAUAUCGCUCAUUCUGUUGGCAUGUUUACUCAAAUGUGCCUAAUGUGGUGAGAUCCGGCCGGGCGGCGCCUCGGUCCAGGGCCGGCCCUGGGGGUAUGGCCGGGGGGCGACGGCCUAAGGCCCAGGCCGGAGGGGGGCCCAUGAUGAAGUAGAUAAGGAAAAAUAAGGACCAUCAGAUAGAGCUAGUAGCGAUUAGCGAAGCGUCAGUCACUACGCGAGACGAAGGCACAGCGCCACAGCCGCUCCUUUCGCUUGUGUGAAAUAAAUCAGACAAGAUCUCAUCGACUCGUAGUUUCGCUAAUUAGCUCGUGCCUUAGUUGCUCGUCGGUUCGUCUUCUUGUUCGUCCUCUUCUCGAUCGUCGGCCUGUCGCUCGGCGCCUUGGCCGCCGCUGGUUGUCACGGCUACGCGUGCCGUGCAUUAGUCCGGCCAUCUGGCAUAUCCAGCAAGGAGGUAAUACACUAUACGCUUGUGAGCCGUGAGCGCACCACGUUCCUGAUCCACCACCCAAACCCCAAUUUUUAGUAGUUUUUUGUUUUAUUCUUUAGUACAUGGAGUAAUUUCAGUGUAUAAUUUUCUAAUAAAAUCUUUCACAAUACGUAACCACCCUAUUUUUUUAUCAUUCUGCGUGCUUGUCUAGAGUUCCAAUCAUCCGAUGUAUAAAUUUCCGACAUUACCAUGCCAUGUUGCCUAAAAAGGCAUUUGUCAGUUACUGAAAAUAGGAGAAAAAAGAAAGAAAGUGAUCCGAAAAUUCGAACACUGAAGGGUUCUUCGAAUUUGGUCCUUCUUUGAGGUUAUCAUGUCAUGUUAGUUUCAUUUUAGUAUAUUUUUAGUAUUUUUGUCAUAAUAUGGCUAUCCAACAAUUAUUAUAGUCAUCAAAUCUCAGACUAAAGAUGUUUAUGUAUCACACACACACAUACAUAUAUAAGUAUGAUCUUAGGACAUAGGGGCCAUGUCGUCGAGUUCGCCUAGGGCCUCCUGAAACAUAGGGCCGGCCCUGCCUCGGUCUGUCCUGUCACGGUAGAUCUCGCUGGUGUAGGGUAGAUGUUGAUCCGCCGUGGCAAUUCAUAGAUGUAGAGACGCACGGGGAGCACAUGAGCAUGGUUUGGCUCCUGUGACGGACCCCAUCCGGUCCAGAAGCUUCCAGGUCUAGCGUAUUGGCGUGAACGGCGUCUCUUUCAGAAUGUAUGGAUACUUUCUGGUCGCUUGCCCCGUUGUACAUUAUUGUUCCCUUUUUAAGGAUACAUUCACCUAGUUCCUGUUUUUUAUGGCUUUUGUUCUGUUUGUUUACAGAUCAAGUCUGUCAUUGCCUUUACCAUGUGUCUUAAAGCUUUUGGUGGUCUCCUUUUCAUCAUCAGCAGCUAGUUCGGAGCGGUCGUACUGGUGCAUACUCUUCUUGGCAUGCACUAUAUCUAGAAUUAUGUUAUGUUAAAGGGGCAUCUAGAUGCAUACAGUUAUGGCUGCCAUUAAAUGCAUGUCUUCUCAAACUAUUUAAAAGGAACUGUUGUUGUCG